This is a microRNA precursor of Bison bison bison, 57 nucleotides long. The record is from Ensembl. NCBI's taxonomy places the organism in Eukaryota, Metazoa, Chordata, Mammalia, Artiodactyla, Bovidae.
AUUGGUUCAUUUGGGUUUUUCCAUAACAUCUUAUGAAAAACCUGAACAGACUUUUGG